Molecule: transfer RNA, 77 nt
Filed under: Rhodanobacteraceae bacterium
Lineage: Bacteria; Pseudomonadati; Pseudomonadota; Gammaproteobacteria; Lysobacterales; Rhodanobacteraceae
Description: tRNA-Gln
Rfam family: tRNA
About the family: Transfer RNA (tRNA) molecules are approximately 80 nucleotides in length. Their secondary structure includes four short double-helical elements and three loops (D, anti-codon, and T loops).
Source: RNAcentral
AGCCCCGUCGCCAAGCGGCCGAAGGCACCGGAUUUUGAUUCCGGUAUUCGCAGGUUCGAAUCCUGCCGGGGUUGCCA